CGACUGUUUACUAAAAACACAGGACUCUGCAAACACGCAAGUGGAAGUAUAGGGUCUGACGCCUGCCCGGUGCUGGAAGGUUAAUAGGAGGGGUGCAAGCUCUAAAUUGAAGCCCCAGUAAACGGCGGCCGUAACACUGACGGUCCUAAGGUAGCGAAAUUCCUUGUCGGGUAAGUUCCGACCCGCACGAAUGGCGUAACGAUUUCUCCACUGUCUCCAACAUCACUUCAGCGAAAUUGAAUUCCCCGUGCAGAUGCGGGGUACCCGCGGUUAGACGAAGAGACCCCGUGCACCUUUACUAUAGCUUUACAUUGCUAUUAAAAGUGUGAUGUGCAGGAUAGGUGGGAGACUUUGAAGUUAUGGCGCUAGCUAUAAUGGAGUCAAACUUGAGAUACCACCCUUUACACUUUUGAUAUCUAACUAUGUUUCAUUAUCUGGAACUAGGACAUUGUAUGGUGGGUAGUUUGACUGGGGCGGUCGCCUCCUAAAAAGUAACGGAGGCGUGCGAAGGUAAGCUAGAGCUGGUCGGAAAUCAGCUUGAUAGUAUAAUGGCAUAAGCUUGCCUGACUGCGAGGCUGACAAGCCAAGCAGAGACGAAAGUCGGUCAUAGUGAUCCGGUGAUUCUGUAUGGAAGGGUCAUCGCUCAACGGAUAAAAGGUACGCCGGGGAUAACAGGCUGAUGGUGUUCGAGCGUUCAUAGCGACAACACCGUUUGGCACCUCGAUGUCGACUCAUCACAUCCUGGGGCUGAAGAAGGUCCCAAGGGUUCGGCUGUUCGCCGAUUAAAGUGAUACGUGAGUUGGGUUUAGAACGUCGUGAGACAGUUCGGUUUCUAUCUGCCGUGGGUGAAGGAAAUUUGAGAAGGUCUGACUCUAGUACGAGAGGACCGAGAUGGAUAUACCUCUGGUGUACCAGCUGUUAUGCCAAUAGCAUCGCUGGGUAGCUAUGUAUAGAUGGGAUAAUUGCUGAAAGCAUAUAAGCAAGAAACCCUCUUCAAA
This 998-nucleotide ribosomal RNA is filed under the name Trichonephila clavata. RNAcentral's name for it is "28S ribosomal RNA". It matches the Rfam family "Bacterial large subunit ribosomal RNA", at positions 1797 to 2803 of the family's 2925-position model. The record is from RNAcentral. Lineage: Eukaryota; Metazoa; Arthropoda; Arachnida; Araneae; Nephilidae.